GAUGAAGAACGUAGCGAAAUGCGAUAAGUAAUGUGAAUUGCAGAAUUCAGUGAAUCAUCGAAUCUUUGAACGCACAUUGCGCCCCCUGGUAUUCCGGGGGGCAUGCUUGUUCGAGCGUCAUUUCAACCCUCAAGCUCUGCUUGGUAUUGGGCGUCGCCGGGGAGUCUCCCCGGCGUGCCUCAAAGCCAUCGGCGGUGGUGCCUUUCUCUAAGCGUGGUAGAAUUUUUAUUCGCUUCUGAGUUGGGCUUCGCCUGCCGGACAAACCGGGCCCUCGCGGCCCACCUUCUCAGGUUGACCUCGGAUCAGGUAGGGAUACCCGCUGAACUUAAGCAUAUCAAUAAGCGGAGGA
Molecule: unclassified non-coding RNA, 349 nt
Filed under: soil metagenome
Description: partial contains 5.8S ribosomal RNA, internal transcribed spacer 2, and large subunit ribosomal RNA
Rfam family: 5.8S ribosomal RNA (bases 1-120)
Source: RNAcentral